RNAcentral lists this ribosomal RNA (676 nucleotides) under uncultured bacterium. RNAcentral describes it as "bacterial SSU rRNA". It matches the Rfam family "Bacterial small subunit ribosomal RNA", at positions 38 to 699 of the family's 1533-position model. The record is from RNAcentral.
GGCGGCAUGCCUUACACAUGCAAGUCGGACGGCAGCACGGGGGCAACCCUGGUGGCGAGUGGCGAACGGGUGAGUAACAUAUCGGAACGUGCCCUGGAGUGGGGGAUAACUAGUCGAAAGACUAGCUAAUACCGCAUACGAUCUACGGAUGAAAGUGGGGGAUCGCAAGACCUCAUGCUCGUGGAGCGGCCGAUAUCUGAUUAGCUAGUUGGUGGGGUAAAGGCCUACCAAGGCAUCGAUCAGUAGCUGGUCUGAGAGGACGACCAGCCACACUGGGACUGAGACACGGCCCAGACUCCUACGGGAGGCAGCAGUGGGGAAUUUUGGACAAUGGGCGCAAGCCUGAUCCAGCAAUGCCGCGUGAGUGAAGAAGGCCUUCGGGUUGUAAAGCUCUUUUGUCAGGGAAGAAACGGGCCGGGCUAAUACCUUGGCCUAAUGACGGUACCUGAAGAAUAAGCACCGGCUAACUACGUGCCAGCAGCCGCGGUAAUACGUAGGGUGCAAGCGUUAAUCGGAAUUACUGGGCGUAAAGCGUGCGCAGGCGGUUUGUGCAAGACCGAUGUGAAAUCCCCCGGGCUUUAACCCUGGGGAAUGGGAUUGGUGACUGGACGGGCUAAAGUGGUGUCAGAGGGGGGGUAGAAUUUCCACGUGUAGCAGUUGAAAUGCGUAGAGAUGU